Bubalus bubalis (water buffalo) is the source of this 3489-nucleotide long non-coding RNA. RefSeq lists it as uncharacterized. The record is from RefSeq and is a predicted model, not a curated record. The transcript has 3 exons. Lineage: Eukaryota; Metazoa; Chordata; Mammalia; Artiodactyla; Bovidae.
UUCCGUGCAGACCCUUCAGCUCGCCAUCGCCGCCGCCUCAUAUCCUGCUCUGUUCCCGUGUGGGACCAGAGGGAAACCUCACAGCAGAUGGGGUUUCGCUUAGUCACAUUCUCUGUGGCCAGAUCCAAUUACAUCAACAGCAGCUCUGGCUCAGACACCCACAGUUGCCUGAUGCUCUCCAGGCUGGCCUUUCACCUUCCAAGGUCCGAACUCAUCCCAAGACAGGCUAGGAGAUGAGUUCCUUUGCAACUCCAUCUAUUGAAAGGAAGAAAGCUGAGAAAUAGAAGCAAGUCAAAAGUUGGAAGAUACUUGCUUUACGAUACUGUGUCAGUUUCUGCCAUAUAUCAACAUGAAUCAGUCAUAGGUAUACAUAUGUCUCUUCCCUCCUGAACGUCCCUCCCAGAACUUCUCAUUAACUGUACUUCAAGGCUAUGCCAUCUGCUGACUUGGAAUUUCCCCUAAUGGAUUUGGAGCCUGUGCGUUAUCUCCCUGGAUCCCCUCGGCUCUGUCUUAGGCUGCUGGAACGUUUUGCUGCCACAGCUGUUGGAAACAACCCCUUGAUGUAGCCAGAGACAGUUGCUCAGCAUCUUAACAGCAAGACCAAAAGGGGUGAAAAAAAUGGGAGUCUCGGAUGGUAAGCGACUGACCUCAUUCUGUAGGAAUCCUUUCUGGAAAGGGAGCUGCGGACUGUUGUGACAGGCGGUGAAUCAUUGCUAAAUCCCACAAGUCCACCUUUUGUCCACUGCUUGAUUAUUGGUAUUUAGUGUGUAAAACCUUUCCCCUUCAGUCCAGUGAACAAUGACACCAUGUGAGAUGCCAGAGAGACAAAGAUAAAUCGUCCAUGAUUCCUGAGCUUCAGGAACUUACCAACACCUGGGAGAGCCAGACAUGAGAACAUUUUAUUCUAAUACAUCAUAUAAUCACGAGACAUAGACACCUGGAAGGUGUGGAAGCAGAGAUGAGAGGCACCUACCCAAGCCUGGGAGAACAGAAGUGCCUUCCUGGAGGAUUAAUGGAUUAAAUCAAUUCACAAUUUCACCCAUUCACCAAAUAUUUAUUGGGCACCUCUUCUGUGCCAGGUACUCAUAUUAGCGGAUACAGUACUAAGGCAAAAUACUUCUCUAUCUAGUGGGAGAGAUGAAACACAUAAAUAGUUAUUCAAGUAGCAGUACUGUAAAGAAUAUAACAAGGCAAAGGUCUAAAGAAUGAUAUGGGGUGAGGAUUGAUUUUUUUAUGUAUAUAUGCCUUUUAUUGGAGUAGAGUUACUUUACAACGUUGAGUUAGUUUCUGCUGUACGACAAUGUGAAUUAUGUUCUGAAUUUUAUGCAUGCAUAUGUGAAUUAUAUGUAUACAGACAUCCCCUCCCUCUUAGACCUCCCUCCCACCCCUUCAUCCCACUCAUCUAGGUCAUCACAGAGCAUUGAGCUGAGCUCCCUGUGCUAUCCAGUAGGUUCCCAGUAGGGUUUAUUUUAAAAAGAGUAGUCAGAGAAGGCCUUUUCAGGAGCAUAUCUUUCUAUCAAAGAAGAGAUGGAGAAAAGUCUUGAAAAUACCUUCUAGACAGAGGAAAAACAAGACUGAUGUUUUGAGCCCGGUCCAGUUUGACUUAUUUAAACAAUAGUGAAAGCCAGUGUGGGUAGAGCUGGGUUAGUGAGGGUUACUGUUGAAAGUGAAGGAGAUGGAGAUGUAGGCCAGAACCAGGUCAGGGGCUGUGUGGGUCAGAGCUAAGUGAAUGGCAGUCAGAUGGAGAAGGGCUUUUCCAUCUUUUCCUUCCCAGGGGUCAUCACUGACAAUAUCUCAACAUUAACACACAGAAAGACAGAGCUAACAGCAAAUAAAUCAUUCUGAUGGCCCAUCUUGAGAUGUUCCUACAGGGAUUAAUGUGUCCCUGCCCAUAAGGUCAAAUUCCAUCCAAACAUCUCUCUGGAAAAUGCAGCGCUCAGAAACCCCUGCCCCGGGCAUUCCCACCCACCUCACCAUGCAUCCUGCAUUCAUCAUCUCGCUCUUGUUCUUUGUCAUGUGGCUAAGAUUCCUUGAAGGAGAUGGUCCAACUCCAAGUAAAGCUCUCUCCAUAAAUAUUUAGACUGAAUAGAAGAUGUGCCAGAGAUGCAAAGAAUCUGUCUGGAGGGAGAAGAGACCUUUCUCUUUGUUGUCUCUUCAGUCUUGUAAUUUAAUCCAUGGAUACGUGUCUUUGAAUAAUACAUAAGCAUCAAUUUACCAUGAAGAGUUCCACAGAAACCUUAGCUUCUCAUCCUUCUGCUGUGUACUGCAUAGCAGUUUCUUCUCAUCCUGGAAUAUACAUUCCUCUGGUUUACCUUUAUCACUUUCUUCUCUACUCCCAUGUUUCUGAUCACAUAGUGUGUGUUGGGCUCUGUUAAACGUAUCGUUGCAGAGUCUAUAUUCAGUUCAAUUCAGUCACUCAGUUGUGUCCGACCCUGCAACCCCAUGAACCGCAGCACACCAGGCCUCCCUGUCCGUCACCAACUCCCGGAGUCCACCCAAACCCAUGUCCAUUGAGUCGGUGAUGCCAUCCAACCAUCUUAUCUUAUUCAGCCCCUCCCCUCUUCUCAGAGUCACUUGUCAGUUCAUUUUGUUCAGGCUUCUCCCUCUGCCCCCACUUCCCUGUCUGUUCCCACUGAGGUCAGUUCAGUCUCCAUGUUACUAAACCCAGCGGCCUUCUUUCUUGUUCUUAUUUUGCUAGAACUCAUCACUUACAUGGUGAUGAACAUAGUGUUAACUGGUCCUUGCUGAGGCUCACAUCUCUUUUUGUGUCUGUUUGUGCCACUCUUUUGCUUGGACCCCUCUGACUGGUCCUUCUCUGCCUCUCAAAUUUUUGGCUCCUGGUGGUUGUGUCUUUGGCAGACUUCUUUCUCUCGCUCCAUCCAUCUUUGCCACCAGGCUCUCAACCAUGGCUUCAGCUCUAAGGGCUUCCAACCCUCUAUGCACCCCUGCCCAGACUUGAGAGCUGGUUACCAUCUGUGGGCUUGGAAUGCUGAGCCUAGCCGACUAACACUCGCAGCUGGUAAACGGGCUGUAACGUGACCCCGAUGAAUCUGCCUUGUUCUGUUCCAGGGCUGGGACUCUUCCAGCUCCAGCUAGUUUCCUGAAUGAACUUGAGUAAGUGCCUUCCCCUCUCUAGGCUUCAGUGGCCUUAAGUGUAGAAUGAGUGAGCUGAACCCCUUCAAAUCUCCUUCAGCUCUACAUGGGCAUGGCAUCUGGCCAUAAGGAAACAGAAAUAACUGUUGUGGUUAUAAGGGACCCAAUAAAUGAUACUCCACCCUUCUCCCCAAAUUCAGGACCAACAGCAUAACAGAAAUUAAAGCCAUAUUUAAACAAGAGAAUUCAAAUGUCAGCUUCAUCAGAUACAAGGAGACCCAUCUACUGGGUCCUCUUUCAGUUCAGUUCAGUUGCUCAGUCAUGUCCGACUUUUUGCGACCACAUGAAUUGCAGCAUGCCGGGCCUUCCUGUCCAUCACCAACUCCCAGAGUUCAG